GAUGAACGCUGGCGGCGUGCCUAAUACAUGCAAGUCGAGCGAACAGAUAAGGAGCUUGCCCCUUUGACGUUAGCGGCGGACGGGUGAGUAACACGUGGAUAACCUACCUAUAAGACUGGGAUAACUUCGGGAAACCGGAGCUAAUACCGGAUAACAUAUUGAACCGCAUGGUUCAAUAGUGAAAGGCGGCUUUGCUGUCACUUAUAGAUGGAUCCGCGCCGUAUUAGCUAGUUGGUAAGGUAACGGCUUACCAAGGCAACGAUACGUAGCCGACCUGAGCGGGUGAUCGGCCACACUGGAGCUGAGACACGGUCCAGACUCCUACGGGAGGCAGCAGUAGGGAAUCUUCCGCAAUGGGCGAAAGCCUGACGGAGCAACGCCGCGUGAGUGAUGAAGGUCUUCGGAUCGUAGAACUCUGUUAUCAGGGAAGAACAAAUGUGUAAGUAACUGUGCACAUCUUGACGGUACCUGAUCAGAAAGCCACGGCUAACUACGUG
This 497-nucleotide ribosomal RNA is filed under the name uncultured bacterium. Its description in RNAcentral is "partial 16S ribosomal RNA". It matches the Rfam family "Bacterial small subunit ribosomal RNA", at positions 28 to 507 of the family's 1533-position model. The record is from RNAcentral.